This 253-nucleotide ribosomal RNA is filed under the name uncultured bacterium. Its description in RNAcentral is "partial 16S ribosomal RNA". It matches the Rfam family "Bacterial small subunit ribosomal RNA", at positions 524 to 776 of the family's 1533-position model. The record is from RNAcentral.
UACGGAGGUCUCAAGCGUUGUUCGGAUUCAUUGGGCGUAAAGGGUGCGUAGGCGGCGCGGUAAGUCGGGUGUGAAAUCUUGGAGCUUAACUCCGAAACUGCAUUCGAUACUGCUGUGCUUGAGGACUGGAGAGGAGACUGGAAUUUACGGUGUAGCGGUGAAAUGCGUAGAUAUCGGGAGGAACACCUGUGGCGAAAGCGGCGCACUGGGCCACAACUGACGCUGAGGCGCGAAAGCUAGGGGAGCAAACAGG